CGUGUACCGAUACACCUAUCUGCGACAUAAUAUUACUCUAUACACGGGCAGGCUAGAAACGAUUCCCACUCCGAAAAGUCGUUGCAGCCGUUUCGAUGCACCCGUAACGGGGGCUAAAUAAUACCUAACAACGAGCUCGUGUAGGAACUCGAACGCCCGGUGGCGCGUGGCGGAGCCGAUACGACGAGUUGCUGCACGAAGAAAACGAACCGAGCAGUACUACGACGGGUAUAGGUACUCGUUGUCGUUGAAUGAUAUAUUUGACAGGAC
This is a non-coding RNA of Cinara cedri, 270 nucleotides long. Lineage: Eukaryota; Metazoa; Arthropoda; Insecta; Hemiptera; Aphididae. The record is from the annotation of a GenBank genome assembly.